AUGCCGCCUCAUAAGAUAGAGACUGGCCACCAAGAUGUGGUGCAUGACAUCGCAAUGGAUUACUAUGGGAAGCGUAUUGCCACUGCCUCCUCUGAUAACACAAUCAAGAUCAUUGGCGUAAGUGGCACCUCGCACCAGCAACUUGCCACUUUGAGCGGACAUGAGGGCCCAGUCUGGCAAAUUGCAUGGGCUCAUCCCAAGUAUGGCUCCAUGCUUGCAUCCUGCAGCUACGAUGGUCGGGUCAUCAUAUGGAAAGAAGGGAGUAAGCCCGAUGAGUGGGCACAGGCACACACUUUCAAUGAGCACAAGUCUUCUGUCAAUUCCAUUGCUUGGGCGCCUCAUGAGCUCGGCCUAUGCUUGGCCUGUGGUUCAUCUGAUGGGAAUAUCUCAGUCUUCAUGGCUCGUUCUGACGGAGGGUGGGAGACGACGCGCAUCGAUCAGGCACAUCCAGUGGGAGUUACCUCUGUUUCCUGGGCCCCAUCAAUGGCGCCGGGUGCUCUAAUCAGCCCAGGGCCUUCUGGGCAGUUCGAGUACGUCCAGAAACUUGCUUCUGGUGGCUGCGACAACACGGUCAAGGUGUGGAAGCUCACCAACGGGAGUUGGAGGAUGGGCUGA
This 615-nucleotide ribosomal RNA is filed under the name Triticum aestivum (bread wheat). RNAcentral describes it as "partial small subunit ribosomal RNA". Lineage: Eukaryota; Viridiplantae; Streptophyta; Magnoliopsida; Poales; Poaceae. The record is from RNAcentral.